This 433-nucleotide ribosomal RNA is filed under the name uncultured bacterium. Its description in RNAcentral is "partial 16S ribosomal RNA". It matches the Rfam family "Bacterial small subunit ribosomal RNA", at positions 29 to 507 of the family's 1533-position model. The record is from RNAcentral.
AACGAACGCUGGCGGCAUGCCUAACACAUGCAAGUCGAACGAGACCUUCGGGUCUAGUGGCGCACGGGUGCGUAACGCGUGGGAACCUGCCCUUAGGUUCGGAAUAACUCCCCGAAAGGGGUGCUAAUACCGGAUAAUGUCUUCGGACCAAAGAUUUAUCGCCUUUGGAUGGGCCCGCGUUGGAUUAGCUAGUUGGUAGGGUAAAAGCCUACCAAGGCGACGAUCCAUAGCUGGUCUGAGAGGAUGAUCAGCCACACUGGGACUGAGACACGGUCCAGACUCCUACGGGAAGCAGCAGUGGGGAAUAUUGGACAAUGGGCGAAAGCCUGAUCCAGCAAUGCCGCGUGAGUGAUGAAGUCCUUAGGGUUGUAAAGCUCUUUUACCCGGGAUGAUAAUGACAGUACCGGGAGAAUAAGCUCCGGCUAACUCCGUG